Non-coding RNA from Paramuricea clavata, 1136 nucleotides. Lineage: Eukaryota; Metazoa; Cnidaria; Anthozoa; Malacalcyonacea; Plexauridae. The record is from the annotation of a GenBank genome assembly.
CCCUUUCAAAAUACCUAUAUUACAAAUUUGGUUGUUGUAUAAAAUAACUUACUAUUCUACUUCAGUUUGUGUUAAAACGUUGUUUACAUGUAUAUUAAAAACACUUUUUAGAAUCCUGUAGAGUGCAUUUAAAAUCCUGCGGAAUGCACGAUACUUAAUUAAUAUAUGUGCCGCCAUUGUCACAUUGAAGGUGAAACAGCACUUAAAAUUAAACUGUUGUGUUUUCAACUUUUGCUUCCGAAAAUCUGUUGUUAUCAAUUUAUUUCUGCCAAAAAUUGUUUACAAAAAUGUAAAAUCCUGCGUUUUAAUUUAAAUGUUCAAAUGAGGUAAUAACAAGCGAAUCUCUUCCCUUUCAUCUGACCAACAAUCCUUCGAUGAAUGCAAACCUUUCUACGAAAGCGCACUUAAACACAGCAAUUACAAUGUUUCUUUGGAAUAUUCUCCCAACAGCCCUUUUUCUCCACCAUCUACGAAACGAAGGCGCCAAAGAAACAUUAUCUGGUUCAACCCCCCAUUCAGCAAAUCCGUUAAAACCAACAUCGCGCGGAAUUUCCUACAGUUUCUCGAUAAACACUUCCCAAGUCCUUUGCACAAAAUAUUCAACCGUAACACAGUCAAAGUUAGCUAUAGCUGCAUGCCUAAUUUAAAGAGCGUUAUAUCUCGCCAAACAAUUGCAUCCUGUCAAAACCCACAACUACCCCACCAACAUCAGAUAACUGCAAUUGUAAUAACCCGAGUGAAUGCCCUAUUAAGAAGAACUGUAAAUCGAAAAACAUCUACAAGGCCAAAGUUACAUCACCCGACGACGGUAUCAUAAAAGAGUAUAUAGGAAUGACGGCGACUACUUUCAAAGCACGAUAUGAAAAUCACAAGAAACCCUUCAAACUUCAAAGAUAUAAAAACGAUACAGAGCUGUCAAAGUACAUCUGGGGGCUAAAGAGUAAUAAUAAAGAUUACACCCUAAAAUGGUCAAUUCUGAAGCGGGCAGGCGCAUACUCAUCUGGCGUAAAGCGUUGCAAUCUCUGCAUAGAAGAAAAACUCUGCAUAAUGGAUGCAAACAAACAUUUAACACUGAACAAAAGACCCGAGAUAUUCGCAAAAUGCCGACAUCGCGAGAAAUUUUGGGCGGGAAAUUU